CCUACGGGAGGCAGCAGUGGGGAAUAUUGGGCAAUGGAGGAAACUCUGACCCAGCGACGCCGCGUGCGGGAUGAAGGCCUUCGGGUUGUAAACCGCUUUCAGUAGGGAAGAAGCGAAAGUGACGGUACCUACAAAAGAAGCACCGGCUAACUAUGUGCCAGCAGCCGCGGUAAUACAUAGGGUGCAAGCGUUGUCCGGAAUUAUUGGGCGUAAAGAGCUCGUAGGUCGUUUGUUACGUCGGAUGUGAAAACCCUGAGGCUCAACCUCAGGCCUGCAUUCGAUACGGGCAAACUAGAGUUUGGUAGGGGAGACUGGAAUUCCUGGUGUAGCGGUGGAAUGCGCAGAUAUCAGGAGGAACACCAAUGGCGAAGGCAGGUCUCUGGGCCAAUACUGACACUGAGGAGCGAAAGUCUGGGGAGCGAACAGGAUUAGAUACCCUGGUAGUCCAGACCGUAAACGGUGGGCACUAGUUGUGGGAACCUUCCACGGUUUCUGCGACGCAGCUAACGCAUUAAGUGCCCCGCCUGGGGAGUACGAUCGCAAGAUUAAAACUCAAAGGAAUUGACGG
This 568-nucleotide ribosomal RNA is filed under the name uncultured bacterium. Its description in RNAcentral is "bacterial SSU rRNA". It matches the Rfam family "Bacterial small subunit ribosomal RNA", at positions 338 to 916 of the family's 1533-position model. The record is from RNAcentral.